RNAcentral lists this transfer RNA (72 nucleotides) under Rhizoctonia solani AG-8 WAC10335. Its description in RNAcentral is "tRNA-Thr (TGT) (tRNA-Thr-TGT-1-1)". It matches the Rfam family "tRNA". From Rfam's summary of the family: Transfer RNA (tRNA) molecules are approximately 80 nucleotides in length. Lineage: Eukaryota; Fungi; Basidiomycota; Agaricomycetes; Cantharellales; Ceratobasidiaceae. The record is from RNAcentral.
GCCCUUAUAGCACAGUGGUAGUGCGUCGCACUUGUAAUGCGAAGGUCGGUUGUUCAAUCCAGCCUGAGGGCA